UGACAAGUUAUACCUGCUGUUUAUAAUCCCAGUCUACAUGGGGAUGAGAGCUGAGUGGUCAUCUACUCCAACUCCCACACUGUCUUGAUACAUAUGAUGGCUUUACUGAAAAGAAGCUGUCAAUUCACUUCCUGAGCACUUCUAGCAAUGGGGAGCUCACUACCUGCUGAGGAUACCCAUUGAUAUUUGGACAGCUCUAAUUGUCAGAAAAUUCUUCCCUGCAUGAAGCUGAAAUCCACCUGCAUCGAGCUUCCAACAUCUGCCUCUCACUCGGCUGCACCUUCCAUUCACGAUAAACUUAUCUCACCAGGUAGGGGAAUCCGCCCUCCACCUCUGACCUGCCCAAGGGGCUGAUUUCUUUGCCCACUGGGGUUUUCUGGGGGUUUCCUCAAGACCCAAAAAAACAUUCCCUGGCCCUAGAGGGUCCUCCAAAGGGGCAGCUUUCGCAGUGCCAACUCCCCUCCAAUCACCCCUUUCCCCAACUUCAGGAACAAUAUUGUUCCUAAAGUCAUAAUUAAGGGAUAUAGCCAAAAGGCCAGGAUUUUUAAAUUAUAUUAAAACUUCACUGUGAAAAACAAACAGAAAACUGCCCGAAAGAGAAAACUCCGGAGUGGUGAGGGAUGGACAGGGAUAUUAUUUUUCUCUUUGUGGCCCGCCUACCUUGGCUCCUCCCUGGGACAAGGGAAGCAGCAGCUUCCAGCCAGCCUGACGUGGAGGGGGAGCCCCUGUCCAUGUGAUUUACAACUCAUCCGCAUGGGCUAUGGUGGUUGAUGCAGAAGCAGACGUUCCAGAAAAGCCAACUCUUCAUCACACACAGAGUUUGGCAACAGAGCCCCUGUUUGAACCUCAUUCGACCGCUGGUGGCUGGAGUCACCCAGAGAGGGUGUCACCGCAAAAGAAGCUGCCUCUCCACCAUCAGAUAAUUCCGGGUGUUACACGCCUCGUGCCUCUCACAUCCCAGAAGGAAAAACUCCUUCCUGUUUCUCUCAGGGGUCCUCAGGUGAUGGGUUAUCAGCCAGCAGAAUUAGGAUGCUGAUUUGAAAAGUCAAGUGUGCUCAGGUAAUAUCUGCUUCGGUCGUGCCUCCCCACCUCCCCCAGAAGCCUUGUAGAGCCCCGGGUCUCUGGCUCCAGCCCAUCAUAACUGAGAGUGUCCUAUUUUAUGUCUAAGUUUGUAGAUUCCAUUCAUACUUUCAGUAGAGUAGUAGUGAUGUUUGUCAAUCCCUGAGGCUCCCUACAUGCCAAGCACUGGGUUAAAUGCUUUACAUGCCUCCUCUUAUUUAAUUCUCGCCUCAACCCCAUGAAGGAGGUGCUAUUACUCUCCAUAUUUUCCAGAAGAAAAACUGAGGCUUACACAGGUUAGCUGACUUGUCCAAGUUCACAGAUAACAAGUAAGGAGGAAAGCUGGGACUUGAACCCAGCCUCUAGAUCUCACACUUGGAAACACGACGCUGUAAUGUCUCCCUGAGGAACUGUGCUGAGGGAUCAGUGGAGCUGGGGAGCCCUGAGGUUGGGGCAAUCGCCCAAGAAGGGUUAGCUCCAGGGCAGAUGGAGAGUGUAGCACCCACUCCCAACUCCCACUGGGCAGGGAGGGGCUCUAACAGACCCUACUCGGUUUAUCUUUGGGUCUGCAAUUCCCAGACUUUGCUUAGGGCGGUGGCUCCGCCCUCCAGGGGAAAGCUGAAAUACAAGGUCAGUUUCUGGCAGGGAGCAUGUAUCAGGCCACUUUCACUCCUCCACAGGAGAACGCACCAUGGUUUCCAGGAACAGCUCAGCUUAGCAAAUCCCUGAGAGACAAGGCUAGGAGGGGUCUGGGGCUACAUGGAGGGGCCACUCAGCUGUGAUAACACAGUGAGGAUAACAGUGCCUGCGGGAAAUGGAGAAGUGCAGAAAGGGGUUAAGUAGGAAGGCGCAGAAACAGACUCUCUCCAUCACCCUGUUAUCCUGGGCCAGUCUGCUCUAGAAAGCCUACAUAUCCCGGGGUCAUAUUAAGUCUUCAGGAGGGUGUGCAUCAUAGAGAACAUGGAGGACAAGUUGGC
Non-coding RNA from Chlorocebus sabaeus (green monkey), 2036 nucleotides. Lineage: Eukaryota; Metazoa; Chordata; Mammalia; Primates; Cercopithecidae. The record is from RefSeq and is a predicted model, not a curated record.